Molecule: ribosomal RNA, 385 nt
Filed under: uncultured bacterium
Lineage: Bacteria
Description: bacterial SSU rRNA
Rfam family: Bacterial small subunit ribosomal RNA
Source: RNAcentral
AACGAACGCUGGCGGCAGGCCUAACACAUGCAAGUCGAACGCCCUAGCAAUAGGGAGUGGCAGACGGGUGAGUAACACGUGGGAACCUUCCCUAUAGUACGGAAUAUACCAGGGAAACUUGGAGCAAUACCGUAUACGCCCGAGAGGGGAAAGAUUUAUCGCUAUAGGAUGGGCCCGCGUAGGAUUAGCUAGUUGGUGAGGUAAUGGCUCACCAAGGCGACGAUCCUUAGCUGGUUUGAGAGAACGACCAGCCACACUGGGACUGAGACACGGCCCAGACUCCUAGGGAGCAGCAGGUGGGGAAUAUUGGACGAAUGGGCGCAAGCCUGAUCCAGCCAUGGCCGCGUGAGUGAUGAAGGCCUUAGGGUUGUAAAGCUCUUUUGCC